Molecule: non-coding RNA, 23 nt
Filed under: Arabidopsis thaliana (thale cress)
Lineage: Eukaryota; Viridiplantae; Streptophyta; Magnoliopsida; Brassicales; Brassicaceae
Source: RNAcentral
ACAACGUUCUGAUGCAAUGCCUG